AAGUGGAGCAAUCCAUGAGUAAAGUGGCGACCGGGUGAGUAACACGUGACUAACCUACCCUAGAGUGGGGAAUAACCUCGGGAAACCGGGGCUAAUACCGCAUAACAUCACGAGGGGAAGAUCCUUGUGAUCAAAGGAGCAAUUCGCUCAAGGAGGGGGUCGCGGCUGAUUAGCUAGUUGGUGAGGUAACGGCCCACCAAGGCUAAGAUCAGUAUCCGGCCUGAGAGGGCGCACGGACACACUGGAACUGAAACACGGUCCAGACUCCUACGGGAGGCAGCAGUGGGGAAUUUUGCGCAAUGGGGGAAACCCUGACGCAGCAACGCCGCGUGGAGGAUGAAGUCCCUUGGG
RNAcentral lists this ribosomal RNA (351 nucleotides) under uncultured bacterium. RNAcentral describes it as "bacterial SSU rRNA". It matches the Rfam family "Bacterial small subunit ribosomal RNA", at positions 72 to 422 of the family's 1533-position model. The record is from RNAcentral.